UACGUAGGGUGCGAGCGUUAAUCGGAAUUACUGAGCGUAAAGCGUGCGCAGGCGGUGGCUCAAGUCAGAUGUGAAAGCCCCGGGCUUAACCUGGGAAUUGCGUUUGAAACUGAGUCGCUAGAGUCUAGCAGAGGGGGGUAGAAUUCCACGUGUAGCAGUGAAAUGCGUAGAGAUGUGGAGGAACACCGAUGGCGAAGGCAGCCCCCUGGGCUAGAACUGACGCCCAGGCACGAAAGCGUGGGGAGCAAACAGG
RNAcentral lists this ribosomal RNA (253 nucleotides) under uncultured bacterium. RNAcentral's name for it is "partial 16S ribosomal RNA". It matches the Rfam family "Bacterial small subunit ribosomal RNA", at positions 524 to 776 of the family's 1533-position model. The record is from RNAcentral.